Molecule: ribosomal RNA, 540 nt
Filed under: uncultured bacterium
Lineage: Bacteria
Description: bacterial SSU rRNA
Rfam family: Bacterial small subunit ribosomal RNA
Source: RNAcentral
UGGGGAAUCUUGGACAAUGGGGGCAACCCUGAUCCAGCCAUGCCGCGUGAGUGAUGAAGGCCCUAGGGUUGUAAAGCUCUUUCGCCUGUGAAGAUAAUGACGGUAGCAGGUAAAGAAACCCCGGCUAACUCCGUGCCAGCAGCCGCGGUAAUACGGAGGGGGUUAGCGUUGUUCGGAAUUACUGGGCGUAAAGCGCACGUAGGCGGACCAGAAAGUUGGGGGUGAAAUCCCGGGGGCUCAACCCCGGAACUGCCUCCAAAACUAUUGGUCUAGAGUUCGAGAGAGGUGAGUGGAAUUCCAAGUGUAGAGGUGAAAUUCGUAGAUAUUUGGAGGAACACCAGUGGCGAAGGCGGCUCACUGGCUCGAUACUGACGCUGAGGUGCGAAAGUGUGGGGAGCAAACAGGAUUAGAUACCCUGGUAGUCCACACCGUAAAACGAUGAAUGCCAGUCGUCGGGUAGCAUGCUAUUCGGUGACACACCUAACGGAUUAAGCAUUCCGCCUGGGGAGUACGGUCGCAAGAUUAAAACUCAAAUGAAUU